CUUUUAUGAUGAAAAAAAUAUUUUUCAGUUCUGCUUCUGAAUUAUAAUGAGCGACAACCCUAUACCAAAACUUUUCUGAUGC
Podospora anserina is the source of this 82-nucleotide small nucleolar RNA. The record is from Rfam. NCBI's taxonomy places the organism in Eukaryota, Fungi, Ascomycota, Sordariomycetes, Sordariales, Podosporaceae.